CAUGGUGCCAGCAUCUGCUUCUGGGGAGAGCUACAGGGGGCUUCCAGCCAACGUGGACGACAGAGGAGGAGCAGGUGCAUCACAUGGAUGAAGCUGGAUUUCUGCACACUGCUCCUUGCCUCAUAGCUGGCUUGAGUCUGCCAAGAAGUGAACAAAACCAGCCACAUAAUCCCAUUUAAAGGCAUGUAUGGCAUUUGAGGAAGGUUGGUGGUCACAUGUGAUGAAGGAACAGCUCAAAGAUGAACUAGAUCCAUAUGGAGAAGCCAGGUAUUCUGAAGAAUGAAGAAACCAUCUCUCACGCGGUUCCUGCUCUCGAGGAGCUAAGCACUCGGUGGAGACAGGGGGCAUGCACGGCUGAGAGGCAGGUUCUGGACAGCCAGCGGUGCCGGUUGCCAGAGCACGAGAGCACGGAGUUUGCUGUGAGCUGGGCCAGUCGAGGAAGGCCAUGGGGAAAAACUCAAUAAAGCAAUGGAGAGAUUAAGGAUA
This is a non-coding RNA of Microcebus murinus (gray mouse lemur), 486 nucleotides long. Lineage: Eukaryota; Metazoa; Chordata; Mammalia; Primates; Cheirogaleidae. The record is from RefSeq and is a predicted model, not a curated record.